Molecule: ribosomal RNA, 1250 nt
Filed under: uncultured Gammaproteobacteria bacterium
Lineage: Bacteria; Pseudomonadati; Pseudomonadota; Gammaproteobacteria
Description: bacterial SSU rRNA
Rfam family: Bacterial small subunit ribosomal RNA
Source: RNAcentral
UGAGUUUGAUCCUGGCUCAGAUUGAACGCUGGCGGCAGGCUUAACACAUGCAAGUCGAACGGUAACAUGAGUGCUUGCACUUGAUGACGAGUGGCGGACGGGUGAGUAAGGUAUGGGGAUCUACCGAAUGGAGGGGGACAACAGUUGGAAACGACUGCUAAUACCGCAUAAUGUUGAGAAACCAAAGCAUGGGACUUUCGGGCCAUGCGCCAUUUGAUGAACCCAUAUGGGAUUAGCUAGUUGGUAGGGUAAAGGCUUACCAAGGCGACGAUCUCUAGCUGGUCUGAGAGGAUGACCAGCCACACUGGAACUGAGACACGGUCCAGACUCCUACGGGAGGCAGCAGUGGGGAAUAUUGCACAAUGGGGGAAACCCUGAUGCAGCCAUGCCGCGUGUAUGAAGAAGGCCUUCGGGUUGUAAAGUACUUUCGGUAAUGAGGAAGGUGGUGUAUCUAAUAGGUGCAUCAAUUGACGUUAAUUACAGAAGAAGCACCGGCUAACUCCGUGCCAGCAGCCGCGGUAAUACGGAGGGUGCGAGCGUUAAUCGGAAUGACCGGGCGUAAAGGGCAUGUAGGCGGAUAAUUAAGUUAGGUGUGAAAGCCCUGGGCUCAACCUAGGAAUUGCACUUAAAACUGGUUAACUAGAGUAUUGUAGAGGAAGGUAGAAUUCCACGUGUAGCGGUGAAAUGCGUAGAGAUGUGGAGGAAUACCGGUGGCGAAGGCGGCCCUCUGGACAGAUACUGACGCUGAGAUGCGAAAGCGUGGGGAGCAAACAGGAUUAGAUACCCUGGUAGUCCACGCUGUAAACGAUGUCGAUUUGGAGUUUGUUGCCUAGAGUGAUGGGCUCCGAAGCUAACGCGAUAAAUCGACCGCCUGGGGAGUACGGCCGCAAGGUUAAAACUCAAAUGAAUUGACGGGGGCCCGCACAAGCGGUGGAGCAUGUGGUUUAAUUCGAUGCAACGCGAAGAACCUUACCUGGUCUUGACAUCCACAGAAUCUUUCAGAGAUGAGGGAGUGCCUUCGGGAACUGUGAGACAGGUGCUGCAUGGCUGUCGUCAGCUCGUGUUGUGAAAUGUUGGGUUAAGUCCCGCAACGAGCGCAACCCUUAUCCUUUGUUGCCAGCGAUUAGGUCGGGAACUCAAAGGAGACUGCCGUUGAUAAAACGGAGGAAGGUGGGGACGACGUCAAGUCAUCAUGGCCCUUACGACCAGGGCUACACACGUGCUACAAUGGCGUAUACAAAGGGAGGCGA